GCUGGGCAUGGUGGCACACGCCUGUAAUCCCAGUGGCUCAAGAGGCUGAGACAGGAGAAUCGCGAGUUCAAAGCCAGACUCAGCAAAAUCAAGGUGCUUAGCAACUCAGUGAGACCCUGUCUCCA
This 125-nucleotide small RNA is filed under the name Marmota monax (woodchuck). The record is from RNAcentral. Lineage: Eukaryota; Metazoa; Chordata; Mammalia; Rodentia; Sciuridae.